GACGAACGCUGGCGGCGUGCCUAAUACAUGCAAGUCGAACGCUUCUUUCCUCCCGAGUGCUUGCACUCAAUUGGAAAGAGGAGUGGCGGACGGGUGAGUAACACGUGGGUAACCUACCCAUCAGAGGGGGAUAACACUUGGAAACAGGUGCUAAUACCGCAUAACAGUUUAUGCCGCAUGGCAUAAGAGUGAAAGGCGCUUUCGGGUGUCGUUGAUGGAUGGACCCGCGGUGCAUUAGCUAGUUGGUGAGGUAACGGCUCACCAAGGCCACGAUGCAUAGCCGACCUGAGAGGGUGAUCGGCCACACUGGGACUGAGACACGGCCCAGACUCCUACGGGAGGCAGCAGUAGGGAAUCUUCGGCAAUGGACGAAAGUCUGACCGAGCAACGCCGCGUGAGUGAAGAAGGUUUUCGGAUCGUAAAACUCUGUUGUUAGAGAAGAACAAGGACGUUAGUAACUGAACGUCCCCUGACGGCAUCUAACCAGAAAGCCACGGCUAACUACGUG
RNAcentral lists this ribosomal RNA (508 nucleotides) under uncultured bacterium. Its description in RNAcentral is "partial 16S ribosomal RNA". It matches the Rfam family "Bacterial small subunit ribosomal RNA", at positions 28 to 507 of the family's 1533-position model. The record is from RNAcentral.